RNAcentral lists this ribosomal RNA (444 nucleotides) under uncultured bacterium. RNAcentral's name for it is "bacterial SSU rRNA". It matches the Rfam family "Bacterial small subunit ribosomal RNA", at positions 16 to 507 of the family's 1533-position model. The record is from RNAcentral.
AUCAUGGCUCAGAACGAACGCUGGCGGCAUGCCUAACACAUGCAAGUCGAACGAGACCUUCGGGUCUAGUGGCGCACGGGUGCGUAACGCGUGGGAAUCUGCCCUUUGCUUCGGAAUAACAGUUAGAAAUGACUGCUAAUACCGGAUGAUGUCUUCGGACCAAAGAUUUAUCGGCAAAGGAUGAGCCCGCGUAGGAUUAGGUAGUUGGUGGGGUAAAGGCCUACCAAGCCGACGAUCCUUAGCUGGUCUGAGAGGAUGAUCAGCCACACUGGGACUGAGACACGGCCCAGACUCCUACGGGAGGCAGCAGUGGGGAAUAUUGGACAAUGGGCGCAAGCCUGAUCCAGCAAUGCCGCGUGAGUGAUGAAGGCCUUCGGGUCGUAAAGCUCUUUACCAGGGAUGAUAAUGACAGUACCUGGAGAAUAAGCUCCGGCUAACUCCGUG